This 70-nucleotide small RNA is filed under the name Paenibacillus sp. P22. RNAcentral describes it as "S-element". Lineage: Bacteria; Bacillati; Bacillota; Bacilli; Caryophanales; Paenibacillaceae. The record is from RNAcentral.
CGUCAGGAAUCCAGCGCGCUUCAGGGAUGGACGGAAUUCCGGAUCUGCUUUGAGCAGAGCGCGGGAAAUG